This 106-nucleotide microRNA precursor is filed under the name Chlorocebus sabaeus (green monkey). RNAcentral's name for it is "miRNA (ENSCSAG00000020285.1)". Lineage: Eukaryota; Metazoa; Chordata; Mammalia; Primates; Cercopithecidae. The record is from RNAcentral.
GAGCUCCCUGAGGGCACCGAGAUGGGCUAACUCGGGCAGCGCUCUCAGCUGCGAGGGGCCCCUUGCCACAGGGCUGCAGUCCUGGCCUCUCCAUUUACUUCUUCCU